RNAcentral lists this ribosomal RNA (433 nucleotides) under uncultured bacterium. Its description in RNAcentral is "partial 16S ribosomal RNA". It matches the Rfam family "Bacterial small subunit ribosomal RNA", at positions 29 to 507 of the family's 1533-position model. The record is from RNAcentral.
AACGAACGCUGGCGGCAUGCCUAACACAUGCAAGUCGAACGAGACCUUCGGGUCUAGUGGCGAACGGGUGCGUAACGCGUGGGAACCUGCCCUUAGGUUCGGAAUAACUCCCCGAAAGGGGUGCUAAUACCGGAUAAUGUCUUCGGACCAAAGAUUUAUCGCCUUUGGAUGGGCCCGCGUUGGAUUAGCUAGUUGGUAGGGUAAAAGCCUACCAAGGCGACGAUCCAUAGCUGGUCUGAGAGGAUGAUCAGCCACACUGGGACUGAGACACGGCCCAGACUCCUACGGGAAGCAGCAGUGGGGAAUAUUGGACAAUGGGCGAAAGCCUGAUCCAGCAAUGCCGCGUGAGUGAUGAAGGCCCUAGGGUUGUAAAGCUCUUUUACCCGGGAUGAUAAUGACAGUACCGGGAGAAUAAGCUCCGGCUAACUCCGUG